GACGAACGCUGGCGGCGUGCCUAAUACAUGCAAGUAGAACGCACAGUUUAUACCGUAGCUUGCUACACCAUAGACUGUGAGUUGCGAACGGGUGAGUAACGCGUAGGUAACCUGCCUGGUAGCGGGGGAUAACUAUUGGAAACGAUAGCUAAUACCGCAUAAUAUUGAUUAUUGCAUGAUAAUUGAUUGAAUGAUGCUAUUGCAUCACUACCAGAUGGACCUGCGUUGUAUUAGCUAGUAGGUGAGGUAACGGCUCACCUAGGCGACGAUACAUAUCCGACCUGAGAGGGUGAUCGGCCACACUGGGACUGAGACACGGCCCAGACUCCUACGGGAGGCAGCAGUAGGGAAUCUUCGGCAAUGGACGAAAGUCUGACCGAGCAACGCCGCGUGAGUGAAGAAGGUUUUCGGAUCGUAAAGCUCUGUUGUAAGAGAAGAACGGGUGUGAGAGUGGAAAGUUCACACUGUGACGGUAUCUUACCAGAAAGGGACGGCUAACUACGUG
RNAcentral lists this ribosomal RNA (505 nucleotides) under uncultured bacterium. RNAcentral describes it as "partial 16S ribosomal RNA". It matches the Rfam family "Bacterial small subunit ribosomal RNA", at positions 28 to 507 of the family's 1533-position model. The record is from RNAcentral.